GCCUAACACAUGCAAGUCGAACGCGAAAGUCCCGCAAGGGAUUAGUAGAGUGGCAAACGGGUGAGUAACACGUGGGUGACCUGCCUUCGAGUGGGGGAUAACGUCCCGAAAGGGACGCUAAUACCGCAUAACAUCCUGCCUUUGAAGAGGUGGAGAUCAAAGCUGGGGACCGCAAGGCCUAGCACUCAAGGAGGGGCCCGCGCCUGAUUAGCUAGUUGGUGAGGUAACGGCCCACCAAGGCUACGAUCAGUAUCCGGCCUGAGAGGGCGGACGGACACACUGGGACUGAGACACGGCCCAGACUCCUACGGGAGGCAGCAGUGGGGAAUUGUUCGCAAUGGGCGCAAGCCUGACGACGCAACGCCGCGUGGAGGAUGAAGACCUUCGGGUCGUAAACUCCUUUCGAUCGAGACGAAUGGCUUCCGGGUAACAAUCUGGAAGAGUGACGGUACCGAGAGAAGAAGCCCCGGCUAACUCCGUGCCAGCAGCCGCGGUAAUACGGGGGGGCAAGCGUUGUUCGGAAUUACUGGGCGUAAAGGGCUCGUAGGCGGCCAACUAAGUCAGACGUGAAAUCCCUCGGCUUAACCGGGGAACUGCGUCUGAUACUGGAUGGCUUGAGAUUGGGAGAGGGAUGCGGAAUUCCAGGUGUAGCGGUGAAAUGCGUAGAUAUCUGGAGGAACACCGGUGGCGAAGGCGACAUCCUGGACCAAUACUGACGCUGAGGAGCGAAAGCCAGGGGA
Molecule: ribosomal RNA, 740 nt
Filed under: uncultured soil bacterium
Lineage: Bacteria
Description: bacterial SSU rRNA
Rfam family: Bacterial small subunit ribosomal RNA
Source: RNAcentral